AUGCAUGUCUAAGUAUAAGCACUUGUACUGUGAAACUGCGAAUGGCUCAUUAAAUCAGUUAUCGUUUAUUUGAUUGUACUUUACUACAUGGAUACCUGUGGUAAUUCUAGAGCUAAUACAUGCGAAAAAUCCCGACUUCUGGAAGGGAUGUAUUUAUUAGAUUAAAAACCAAUGCGAGUCUUCGGUCUCGUUUUCUUGGUGAUUCAUGAUAACUUUUCGAAUCGCAUGGCCUAGCGCCGGCGAUAUUUCAUUCAAAUUUCUGCCCUAUCAACUGUCGAUGGUAAGGUAGUGGCUUACCAUGGUUAUAACGGGUGACGGAGAAUUAGGGUUCGAUUCCGGAGAGGGAGCCUGAGAAACGGCUACCACA
This 367-nucleotide ribosomal RNA is filed under the name Eudoxoides mitra. RNAcentral describes it as "SSU rRNA". It matches the Rfam family "Eukaryotic small subunit ribosomal RNA", at positions 51 to 414 of the family's 1831-position model. Lineage: Eukaryota; Metazoa; Cnidaria; Hydrozoa; Siphonophorae; Diphyidae. The record is from RNAcentral.